RNAcentral lists this ribosomal RNA (229 nucleotides) under uncultured bacterium. Its description in RNAcentral is "partial 16S ribosomal RNA". It matches the Rfam family "Bacterial small subunit ribosomal RNA", at positions 568 to 796 of the family's 1533-position model. The record is from RNAcentral.
UUCGUAGGCGGGAUAUUAAGUCAGUGGUGAAAUCCUACGGCUUAACUGUAGAACUGCCAUUGAUACUGAUAUUCUUGAAUUCACCUGAAGUAGGCGGAACAUGACAUGUAGCGGUGAAAUGCUUAGAUAUGUCAUAGAACACCGAUUGCGAAGGCAGCUUACUAAAGUGAUAUUGACGCUAAGGAACGAAAGCGUGGGGAGCGAACAGGAUUAGAUACCCUGGUAGUCC